This 546-nucleotide ribosomal RNA is filed under the name uncultured Cryptophyta. Its description in RNAcentral is "SSU rRNA". It matches the Rfam family "Eukaryotic small subunit ribosomal RNA", at positions 597 to 1154 of the family's 1831-position model. The record is from RNAcentral. Lineage: Eukaryota; Cryptophyceae.
GCGUAUAUUAAAGUUGUUGCAGUUAAAAAGCUCGUAGUCGGAUUUCGGGCUCGGGCAGGCUGUCGGCCUCGGUCGGACGGCAGGCUCGGGCCUUUCUGCCUGGGGACUCCGUCACACUUAACUGUGGGGCGGUUGGACGCAGGCCGUUUACUUUGAAAAAAUUAGAGUGUUCAAAGCAGGCCUACGCUUGAAUACAUUAGCAUGGAAUAAUGGAAUAGGACUUUGGUGCUAUUUUGUUGGUUUAUGGGACCGAAGUAAUGAUUAACAGGGACAGUUGGGGCCGUUUAUAUUUCGUUGUCAAAGGUGAAAUUCUUGGAUUUACGAAAGAUAAACUUCUGCGAAAGCAUUCGGCAAGGAUGUUUUCAUUGAUCAAGAACGAAAGUUAGGGGAUCGAAGACGAUCAGAUACCGUCGUAGUCUUAACCAUAAACUAUACCGACUAGGGAUCAGUGGAUGUCAAUUUGCGACUCCAUUGGCACCUUGUGAGAAAUCAAAGUUUUUGGGUUCCGGGGGGAGUAUGGUCGCAAGGCUGAAACUUAAAGGAAUU